UACGGAAGGCAGUAGUGGGGAAUAUUGCACAAUGGGCGCAAGCCUGAUGCAGCCAUGCCGCGUGUAUGAAGAAGGCCUUCGGGUUGUAAAGUACUUUCAGUCGUGAGGAAGGUGUUAAGGUUAAUAACCUUAGCAAUUGACGUUAGCGACAGAAGAAGCACCGGCUAACUCCGUGCCAGCAGCCGCGGUAAUACGGAGGGUGCGAGCGUUAAUCGGAAUUACUGGGCGUAAAGGGCACGCAGGCGGUUAAUUAAGUUGGAUGUGAAAUCCCCGGGCUUAACCUGGGAAUGGCAUUCAAGACUGGUUAGCUAGAGUCUUGUAGAGGGGGUUAGAAUUCCAUGUGUAGCGGUGAAAUGCGUAGAGAUGUGGAGGAAUACCGGUGGCGAAGGCGGCCCCUGGACAAAGACUGACGCUCAUGUGCGAAAGCGUGGGGAGCAAACAGGGAUUAGAUACCCGU
This 457-nucleotide ribosomal RNA is filed under the name uncultured bacterium. RNAcentral's name for it is "bacterial SSU rRNA". It matches the Rfam family "Bacterial small subunit ribosomal RNA", at positions 340 to 789 of the family's 1533-position model. The record is from RNAcentral.